GAGGGUCAUUGGAAACUGGGGAACUUGAGUGCAGAAGAGGAGAGUGGAAUUCCACGUGUAGCGGUGAAAUGCGAUAGAGAUGUGGAGGAACACCAGUGGCGAAGGCGACUCUCUGGUCUGUAACUGACGCUGAGGAGCGAAAGCGUGGGGAGCGAACAGGAUUAGAUACCCUGGUAGUCCACGCCGUAAACGAUGAGUGCUAAGUGUUAGGGGGUUUCCGCCCCUUAGUGCUGCAGCUAACGCAUUAAGCACUCCGCCUGGGGAGUACGGUCGCAAGACUGAAACUCAAAGGAAUUGACGGGGGCCCGCACAAGCGGUGGAGCAUGUGGUUUAAUUCGAAGCAACGCGAAGAACCUUACCAGGUCUUGACAUCCUCUGACAAUCCUAGAGAUAGGACGUCCCCUUCGGGGGCAGAGUGACAGGUGGUGCAUGGUUGUCGUCAGCUCGUGUCGUGAGAUGUUGGGUUAAGUCCCGCAACGAGCGCAACCCUUGAUCUUAGUUGCCAGCAUUCAGUUGGGCACUCUAAGGUGACUGCCGGUGACAAACCGGAGGAAGGUGGGGAUGACGUCAAAUCAUCAUGCCCCUUAUGACCUGGGCUACACACGUGCUACAAUGGACAGAACAAAGGGCAGCGAAACCGCGAGGUUAAGCCAAUCCCACAAAUCUGUUCUCAGUUCGGAUCGCAGUCUGCAACUCGACUGCGUGAAGCUGGAAUCGCUAGUAAUCGCGGAUCAGCAUGCCGCGGGUGAAUACGUUCCCGGGCCUUGUACACACCGCCCGUCACACCACGAGAGUUUGUAACACCCGAAGUCGGUGAGGUAACCUUUUAGGAGCCAGCCGCCGAAGGUGGGACAGAUGAUUGGGGGUGAAGUCGUAACAAGGUAGCCG
RNAcentral lists this ribosomal RNA (888 nucleotides) under Bacillus sp. SKR8. Its description in RNAcentral is "bacterial SSU rRNA". It matches the Rfam family "Bacterial small subunit ribosomal RNA", at positions 618 to 1502 of the family's 1533-position model. Lineage: Bacteria; Bacillati; Bacillota; Bacilli; Caryophanales; Bacillaceae. The record is from RNAcentral.